Molecule: long non-coding RNA, 462 nt
Organism: Saccostrea cuccullata (small rock oyster)
Lineage: Eukaryota; Metazoa; Mollusca; Bivalvia; Ostreida; Ostreidae
Exons: 3
Source: RefSeq, a predicted model, not a curated record
CUUAUAUCAGCGUUCGUCUUUGAAGCGGAGAUACAUUUUCAAGAUAAAGAUUUGAACGACGAAAAUUAUAAAAAUUAACGUAUUUCCCGAUUCUUGGAUGAAUACGAAACUGAAUAGCCAGGUUCCAUUUGCACUUCCUGUUACAGAAAAAAAAAACCGAGUCAGCGAGAGCUCCUUUCUAUGGUUUGUUCCAGACUUUCCUUUUGGCUGAUUGUGAUCUAAUUCCUUAAAACAAUGGUUCUGCGUAACGCAGCCAGGUAAAUCGAAUGGUCUUUUAAUGCUUAGUGACAUUUAUUUGAAGGUUUACUAAAUUUUGGGAAACGCUUCUCAUGACACAAGACUGAAAAACUGCCUGUAAACAAAUAUCAUUAAAGUCAAUGGAUUACUUAGGAACAUCCAAGCAAUAUGAUAUCAGAGACUGGCAUUUUUUAUCACUCAAUGUGGCAGAAAAACCUAAAUAAA